GCGCUCGUAGCUCAGCGGAUAGAGCGAUGGUUUCCGGUACCACAGGUCGGGGGUUCAAGUCCUCUCGAGCGCG
This 73-nucleotide transfer RNA is filed under the name Gottfriedia endophytica. It matches the Rfam family "tRNA". From Rfam's summary of the family: Transfer RNA (tRNA) molecules are approximately 80 nucleotides in length. Their secondary structure includes four short double-helical elements and three loops (D, anti-codon, and T loops). Lineage: Bacteria; Bacillati; Bacillota; Bacilli; Caryophanales; Bacillaceae. The record is from Rfam by way of RNAcentral.